Molecule: ribosomal RNA, 509 nt
Filed under: uncultured Oscillibacter sp.
Lineage: Bacteria; Bacillati; Bacillota; Clostridia; Eubacteriales; Oscillospiraceae
Description: partial 16S ribosomal RNA
Source: RNAcentral
CACGUAGUUAGCCGUGGCUUAUUCAAGGGGUACCGUCUUCUGCUCUUCCCCCUUAAAAGAAGUUUACAGCCCGAAAGCCUUCUUCCUUCACGCGGCGUUGCUGGGUCAGACUUGCGUCCAUUGCCCAAUAUUCCCCACUGCCGCCUCCCGUAGGAGUCUGGGCCGUAUCUCAGUCCCAAUGUGGCCGGCCAACCUCUCAGUCCGGCUACUGAUCGUCGCCUUGGUGGGCCGUUACCUCACCAACUAGCUAAUCAGACGCGAGGCCAUCUUCCAGCGAUAAUCUUUGACAUGUCUGUGAUGCCACAGUCAUGCGUCAUGCGGUAUUAGCAGUUCGUUCCAACUGUUCGUCCCCUCUGGAAGGCAGGUUCCUCACGCGUUACUCACCACGUCCGCCACUAAGCAACUCAACUCCAUUCGUACCGAAAACUUCUUUACAUGAGCCGUCCCCGUUCGACUUGCAUGUGUUAAGCACGCCGCCAGUCGUUCGUCCUGACGCCAGGAUACAAACU